Long non-coding RNA from Triticum dicoccoides, 428 nucleotides. RefSeq lists it as uncharacterized. Lineage: Eukaryota; Viridiplantae; Streptophyta; Magnoliopsida; Poales; Poaceae. The record is from RefSeq and is a predicted model, not a curated record. The transcript is spliced from 3 exons.
AUUUUAAUUAACUAAUUACAGUGGCGGAGCUAGAUGGGGAGGCAAAGGGCAAAUACAUCAAUUCUUGAGCAGUCCAAAAACUAUAAUUUGUUGAAUUAAGCACCCCCAAGAGUUCUUUAUUCACACAUUUUUUCAAGGUUGGGGGUUUAAUAAGAUCAAGCACUCCGUCCUCUGCCAGGUCGCCGCCGCUGCUCGGGACGUAGACGCGCACAUGGGUCCGUCAGUCGCUGGCAAACGAGGUCGAGUCCGUGCGGAGCACUGGUCUCCUCGCUGUCGUCGUCGUCCUCCCUGCUGCUAGCGACGCCCUCCUGUCUCCUCUGCACCAGUCUACUCCUUCAUAUUAUUUACAAAAGAAAAUGGUUUGGGGUGAAGAGUUGAAGGCUUGAAGCCAAAUGUUCCUAAUCAAGAAGAUGACCCGCACAACUCCC